GGCUCCGUGGUGUAGUGGUUAUCACAUCUGCCUAACACGCAGAAGGUCCUGGGUUCGAAACCCAGCGGAACCU
This 73-nucleotide transfer RNA is filed under the name Capitella teleta. Its description in RNAcentral is "tRNA-Val for anticodon AAC". It matches the Rfam family "tRNA". From Rfam's summary of the family: Transfer RNA (tRNA) molecules are approximately 80 nucleotides in length. Their secondary structure includes four short double-helical elements and three loops (D, anti-codon, and T loops). Further hydrogen bonds mediate the characteristic L-shaped molecular structure. tRNAs have two regions of fundamental functional importance: the anti-codon, which is responsible for specific mRNA codon recognition, and the 3' end, to which the tRNAs corresponding amino acid is attached (by aminoacyl-tRNA synthetases). tRNAs cope with the degeneracy of the genetic code in two manners: having more than one tRNA (with a specific anti-codon) for a particular amino acid; and 'wobble' base-pairing, i.e. permitting non-standard base-pairing at the 3rd anti-codon position. The record is from Rfam by way of RNAcentral. Lineage: Eukaryota; Metazoa; Annelida; Polychaeta; Capitellidae.